UUUUUUUUUUUUUUUUUUUUUUUUUUUUUUUUUUUCUCCC
RNAcentral lists this non-coding RNA (40 nucleotides) under Alexandrium minutum. Lineage: Eukaryota; Dinophyceae; Gonyaulacales; Pyrocystaceae. The record is from RNAcentral.